This 272-nucleotide unclassified non-coding RNA is filed under the name Hevea brasiliensis (rubber tree). Lineage: Eukaryota; Viridiplantae; Streptophyta; Magnoliopsida; Malpighiales; Euphorbiaceae. The record is from RNAcentral.
CAGGGAACAUGGGUUGCAGGAGAGAUUACUUAUUCAGAGUAAGAAAAUUAUCCUGGGAGGAUUGCUAGUUAAGAUUUAGUAAAAUUGCCUUCUUUAAGAAAAAAAAUGAAGAAAGGGGACGUUUAGAAGCUAUUGGUAAGGACAUUGUAAAGAAGUGUAAUAGUCUGCAAAAAUAUUUUAGCAACUCUUUUGCGCUUGAAACAAUCACUGAAAGGGUGGCAGAGUGUCUUGAUUAGUGAGGUGCGGGAACUAAAAGUGGUAUAGGAAAAAGG